This 536-nucleotide long non-coding RNA is filed under the name Homo sapiens (human). RNAcentral describes it as "non-protein coding lnc-RAB6B-1:1". The record is from RNAcentral. Lineage: Eukaryota; Metazoa; Chordata; Mammalia; Primates; Hominidae.
GCACUUGCAGCCUUGGAAACUCCAGGACGUCCCAGCCAACAGAAAAGGAAACCGAGUACGCCACUCUCAGAAGUUAUUGUCAAAAACUUGCAACUUGCUUUGGCAAAUAGCUCUCGAAAUGCUGUCGCUCUUUCUGCCAGCCCUCAACUGAAAGAGGCCCAGUCAGAGAAGGAAGAAGCCCCAAAGCCACUUCACAAAGUAGUGGUAUGUGUUAGUAAAAAACUCAGUAAGAAGCAGAGUGAACUAAAUGGGAUCGCAGCCUCUCUAGGAGCAGAUUACAGGUAGUUGGCACAUCUUUCUGUUUCAUGGUGAUAUGACUGAAAUUUAUAAGGAAACCUAAAGCUAUUGUGAGCAUCUACAAGAAUACAUUUAUUUUGUUUCAUGCAUCUUUAUCUACAAAAUCUCUCCAGUUGAUUUUUAAUUUACCACAUCUGUUGAAAAUAGCCUCUCACAUAUCAAUUCACUCUUAUAUGUAUAUAAUGUAUAUUUUUUAGGGUAUGCACAACAAAUAUUGGAGAGCCUAUUUUAUGCCACUA